Molecule: long non-coding RNA, 1191 nt
Filed under: Chrysemys picta bellii (western painted turtle)
Lineage: Eukaryota; Metazoa; Chordata; Testudines; Emydidae
Description: lncRNA (ENSCPBG00000011501.1)
Source: RNAcentral
AUGCUCCCAGCCCCGCCGCCUUUGAUGUGCCCAGCGGCGGGUCCCCGGCCGCCCUUGCAGCAGGAAAGCGGCAGCAGGCAUCUCCCCCCCGUUAGCCGAGCUCGCGGACGGAGGGAGAACCCAGCCGCAGGCCGCCAACCAGCGGGGGAGCCACAGCUCGCCUCCUGCUGCCCGAGCAGGUUAGAAGCGCUGCGGAGGUGUCCUCUUGUCCCCUGCCUACUAUGUGCAGAGAGAAGACCAUUGAGAUGGGAGCUGGAGCAAGAUGGGAGAAGAGAAAGAGAGAAGUAGGAAAACCUGUUUAUAAAAUGGUAGAGUUAAGGCUCCCAUCAAUAUACUAUGUGAGGGCUUCACAAACAUUAAUUUGUUCUCAUGGCAUCUUUGAGAGACAGGGAGGUAUGGAGCCUAGCACAACCUGGUUGGGGCCAGUAGGGCUUCCACAAUACAAAUGUUAAACAACAGUAGUAUUAUCCUCAUUUUACAGAUGAGAAAACUGAGGCACAGAGAGAUUCAGGUCCCGUUUUUACAGAAAUGCUGAGCACCCACAACUCCAGCUGAAAUCAGUCAGACCUGCCAGAGCCCUGUACCUCUGCAAAAAUCAGACCCUGAUGUGAUUUGCCCAAGGUCAGACAGGAAAUCAUUGGUAGAGUUGGCAAACAAACACAGGCCUCCUGAGUUCUAACUCAAUGAUCCUUCGUGCCUUCAUAUUUUCACCAUCGUUCCAAAUUUUCCAAAAUGUUUCUACAGACAUCUAUUAAUCCUGAUCAUAAGGUAGUUACAUGUUGAUGGUCAAGGGCAGAGGCAAAAAGACCGACAAUUAAUCUAUGCUAACAAAUCUUUGAUUUCCGUUUCCCAGCAAGAUAUAGUAUGUGAGCAUUAGGACAGCAAGGUUGCUUACUCUUCAGUAUCUAAUUACCCACAUCAUUCUGUAUCACCUCUAUUCUUUGUCACAAACUGUUAGCCUUUUGUUUGUUACCUGCUGGAAAUGGGAUAAUCUGGAAAAAGGUUUAAGCUUUAGAAUUAGAUUUGGAAUGUCACAUUCUGGAGGCUCGAAAAUCAUUUGAAACUUUAAGGGGAAAAAAUUCCAAAAAAAAUUACUGAGAAUCAAGUAGAAAAUAUUUUUCUUCCUAAAUUAAUUUGCACCUCAUGGUCUGAAACAAUAAAUAAAGGCUCAUUCUCCGUUUUGUCUCCCUC